AACGAACGCUGGCGGCAUGCCUAACACAUGCAAGUCGAACGAGACCUUCGGGUCUAGUGGCGCACGGGUGCGUAACGCGUGGGAACCUGCCCUUAGGUUCGGAAUAACUCCCCGAAAGGGGUGCUAAUACCGGAUAAUGUCUUCGGACCAAAGAUUUAUCGCCUUUGGAUGGGCCCGCGUUGGAUUAGCUAGUUGGUAGGGUAAAAGCCUACCAAGGCGACGAUCCAUAGCUGGUCUGAGAGGAUGAUCAGCCACACUGGGACUGAGACACGGCCCAGACUCCUACGGGAGGCAGCAGUGGGGAAUAUUGGACAAUGGGCGAAAGCCUGAUACAGCCAUGCCGCGUGAGUGAUGAAGGCCUUAGGGUUGUAAAGCUCUUUUACCCGGGAUGAUAAUGACAGUACCGGGAGAAUAAGCACCGGCUAACUCCGUG
RNAcentral lists this ribosomal RNA (433 nucleotides) under uncultured bacterium. RNAcentral's name for it is "partial 16S ribosomal RNA". It matches the Rfam family "Bacterial small subunit ribosomal RNA", at positions 29 to 507 of the family's 1533-position model. The record is from RNAcentral.